AAGACCACACAGGGUGCCUGUCCAGCCCAGAGCGUCACAACGACGCCCAGCCACACUCCAGCUGAACACCGGCCACGUAGCUGCCGCACCGAGAGAGGCACGCAGGAACCUCCACGGGGAGAAGUCCCCCUGGGGCCACCGUCGGAGAAACGUGAAGGGUGUUGGAACAAGCAGAGUCGGAGCGAGGAAAAUUAAACAACAACAUCUGACAAGUGGCCCAUCCCCUGUGGCUCCAGGCUGAGCCAGGCCAAAGGGACGGAGAAGAGGCCUCCCUGGCCCACCCAGGAGAGCCCCCACCUCAGGGCAGAAGGCAGGCAGCUCAGGGUAAGUAGGACAGUGGCCUACCUGGGAGAAAAGUGGGAGAAGGGGAGC
This 372-nucleotide long non-coding RNA is filed under the name Mustela putorius furo (domestic ferret). RNAcentral's name for it is "lncRNA (ENSMPUG00000029015.1)". The record is from RNAcentral. Lineage: Eukaryota; Metazoa; Chordata; Mammalia; Carnivora; Mustelidae.